RNAcentral lists this ribosomal RNA (468 nucleotides) under uncultured bacterium. RNAcentral describes it as "partial 16S ribosomal RNA". It matches the Rfam family "Bacterial small subunit ribosomal RNA", at positions 28 to 507 of the family's 1533-position model. The record is from RNAcentral.
GACGAACGCUGGCGGCGUGCUUAACACAUGCAAGUCGAACGGAAAGGCCCUGCUUUUGUGGGGUGCUCGAGUGGCGAACGGGUGAGUAACACGUGAGUAACCUGCCCUUGACUUUGGGAUAACUUCAGGAAACUGGGGCUAAUACCGGAUAGGAGCUCCUGCUGCAUGGUGGGGGUUGGAAAGUUUCGGCGGUUGGGGAUGGACUCGCGGCUUAUCAGCUUGUUGGUGGGGUAGUGGCUUACCAAGGCUUUGACGGGUAGCCGGCCUGAGAGGGUGACCGGCCACAUUGGGACGGAGAUACGGCCCAGACUCCUACGGGAGGCAGCAGUGGGGAAUAUUGCACAAUGGGCGGAAGCCUGAUGCAGAAAAGCCGCGUGCGGGAUGACGGCCUUCGGGUUGUAAACCGCUUUCGCCUGUGACGAAGCGUGAGUGACGGUAAUGGGUAAAGAAGCACCGGCUAACUACGUG